CCUACGGGUGGCAGCAGUGGGGAAUAUUGGGCAAUGGGCGCAAGCCUGACCCAGCAACGCCGCGUGAAGGAAGAAGGCUCUCGGGUUGUAAACUUCUUUUAUCAGGGACGAAGCAAGUGACGGUACCUGAUGAAUAAGCCACGGCUAACUACGUGCCAGCAGCCGCGGUAAUACGUAGGUGGCAAGCGUUAUCCGGAUUUAUUGGGUUUAAAGGGUGCGCAGGCGGAAUGUCAAGUCAGCGGUAAAAUUUCGGGGCUCAACCCCGUCGUGCCGUUGAAACUGGCGUUCUUGAGUGAGCGAGAAGUAUGCGGAAUGUGUGGUGUAGCGGUGAAAUGCAUAGAUAUCACACAGAACUCCGAUUGCGAAGGCAGCAUACCGGCGCUCAACUGACGCUCAUGCACGAAAGCGUGGGUAUCGAACAGGAUUAGAUACCCUUGUAGUC
RNAcentral lists this ribosomal RNA (442 nucleotides) under uncultured bacterium. Its description in RNAcentral is "partial 16S ribosomal RNA". It matches the Rfam family "Bacterial small subunit ribosomal RNA", at positions 338 to 795 of the family's 1533-position model. The record is from RNAcentral.